Molecule: long non-coding RNA, 2008 nt
Filed under: Gallus gallus (chicken)
Lineage: Eukaryota; Metazoa; Chordata; Aves; Galliformes; Phasianidae
Source: RNAcentral
CCUCCACCCAGUGGAUGUAGUUCAGCCUCAAGGGGACGGUGGGAAUGAGCCUUUCCAGGGGGAUGUCAAUGAUAACGUACACGCAAACAUGCAAAAAUCCCAUUUUCCUGAAGGUGGCUGUCUAAGAUCAGAGUUGCUUCUGAUUGGAAGAAGUGUUUACUAUAAAUAACCUCUAAUAGGCAUUCCUCUGAGCAAACAGCAGUGAAAGCUCAUCUGGAGGUGGAGGGCGAGCGAGGAAGACCAUUGGAAGAAGCAAAAGGCCAAAAGGCUGUCGGUUGGACUGUCAUGAUGCUGAAAGGACGCUAGGCGGUAGAAGAGACCAUGGAGUAGAGGACUGGAAACCUCAUCAAUCACUACCUGAGAUGGGCGUGUGUGUAAUUAUCUCGCAGGUAAUCAGUGAGUGUGUUACUACCUGUGGAAAUAGAAUGGACUCUGAAUCACGUCAUCUUGGAAGGACUUAUGGUGGAAAUAUCCCCAGGGCUUCCCGGUGCUGCUAAAUAAAGAACACCUGACUUAAUGCUAACAAAACCUUGUUCUGUUUCUGCGCACUGAUUUCUCCUGUUCGCUUCUCACAGCUACACCCACGACGUGCCAGAAUGGCUUCGUUACUCUGAAGGCAUCUUUAAAACCUCUCAGCGCUGUGAAUUGCUUUCUGUGUCAUCAGUUUGGGCCUGCAGCCCCUCCCGGCCUGGCAGCAGCCUGCCAUUGGCAUACCUGGUUUCCCCACUUCAGAUCCAUAACACAAAGAGCUCGUACUUCCAGUUAUUAUCAUACUGCCGUUUGCUGAACACGCAUUUUGAAAGACACAUAAAAAGGACUUCAUAAUGAGCUUUGAUUUUAAAAAGUGGCAAAACAAAGGCUAAAACUGGGACUUAAAGCCGGCUUCAGCUCCCAGCUGUGUCAUUGACAGCUUGGGCACAUUUCAUUCCCAAGUGCCAAGUUCUCCCAUCAAUACAGGAGGAACUUACUGUCUGAAUACAGUGUGUUGGUUCCUCAGAUAACUUGGAUAAAAGCAUACCUCAGCAAGAGUGACAUUAAAGUACAAUCUAUUAUUCUUCUAUUCGUUUUCCAGGCUGGAUGUGGCUCUGGGCAGCCCGGUCUGGUGGUUGGUGACCCUACACAUAGCGGGGGGGUUGAAACUCGAUGAUCAUUGUGGUCCUUUUCAACCCAGGCCAUGCUAUGAUUCUAUUAUUCUAUGAUUUUUUCCUUGUUAAACUUCCAAAUGCUUGCAUGUUGUUUCAAAAUUAAGUACGUAGGCAUCCCCAUUUGACUCUCAAAUGUCUGAAAUGACUUUGCAGCUGGGUUUGCUUUCAGUCCUAGCUCCUGCCCUCACAGCUGUCUGUGUCCUAAGGGCAGCCAAGCUGCUAAGCUUCACACAGAAAAGACUAAUUUUAUUAUCUAUUUUCUUAAACACACACCUUUUUUUACCAGAGCAACAUCCCAACUCGUGUACAGCCCACCCUUUCCGCUUCUGGAAGUCAUUCUCCACAGUCUGCCCCCACCCACAGCCAAAGAAGUGAAGCUGAUGUGGACAAAAGCAGAAUGGAGGCAGAGUCAAAAAUACGAAUUUUAAUUUGGAGUACUUAGUGUAUUUACAGUAGAAGGGUUCUCUCUAGUCAAGGGACAACAGAUUUUUUUAAAAAUCCACAUUCACAAAUAUGUGGACCUGCACCUGAUGCAGGCUAAUUGCUUUUUGCUACUUCUGCUGCACUCAGGCAACAGCCAUGAGAAAAUGCUGGUGUGAGCUUGUAGAUGGAAUCAGAUGUCUCUUACACCCAAGUAGCACUUACACAAUGGAGUCCAGAAAGUAGUGUGAAGUUAUCCAACAGCUGCUAAAAAAUGUCUCAUAUAUAUGUACAUAUAUGCAGUCCCAUUUGCAGCCAGGAUUCAAUGAUUCAGUGAAUCAUUCAGGGAGAGACAGGCAAGCAGGCACAAGCCUACCAACCUGUGUGCAAGCACAGAUCUGCAGGGACACUCACUGCCAGGUACAAAGGUACCUCCUCACCCA